This 684-nucleotide ribosomal RNA is filed under the name uncultured Streptococcus sp. RNAcentral describes it as "bacterial SSU rRNA". It matches the Rfam family "Bacterial small subunit ribosomal RNA", at positions 69 to 740 of the family's 1533-position model. Lineage: Bacteria; Bacillati; Bacillota; Bacilli; Lactobacillales; Streptococcaceae. The record is from RNAcentral.
GAAGGAAGUGCUUGCACUUCUGGAUGAGUUGCGAACGGGUGAGUAACGCGUAGGUAACCUGCCUGGUAGCGGGGGAUAACUAUUGGAAACGAUAGCUAAUACCGCAUAACAAUGGAUAUUGCAUGAUAUCUAUUUGAAAGGUGCAAUUGCAUCACUACCAGAUGGACCUGCGUUGUAUUAGCUAGUAGGUGAGGUAAAGGCUCACCUAGGCGACGAUACAUAGCCGACCUGAGAGGGUGAACGGCCACACUGGGACUGAGACACGGCCCAGACUCCUACGGGAGGCAGCAGUAGGGAAUCUUCGGCAAUGGGGGCAACCCUGACCGAGCAACGCCGCGUGAGUGAAGAAGGUUUUCGGAUCGUAAAGCUCUGUUGUAAGAGAAGAACGAGUAUGAGAGUGGAGAGCUCAUACUGUGACGGUAACUUACCAGAAAGGGACGGCUAACUACGUGCCAGCAGCCGCGGUAAUACGUAGGUCCCGAGCGUUAUCCGGAUUUAUUGGGCGUAAAGCGAGCGCAGGCGGUUAGAUAAGUCUGAAAUUAAAGGCUGUGGCUUAACCAUAGUAUGCUUUGGAAACUGUUUGACUUGAGUACAGAAGGGGAGAGUGGAAUUCCAUGUGUAGCGGUGGAAUGCGUAGAUAUAUGGAGGAACACCGGUGGCGAAAGCGGCUCUCUGGUCUGUAAC